GGGUUGUGAGGUUAAGCGACUAAGCGUACACGGUGGAUGCCCUGGCAGUCAGAGGCGAUGAAGGGCGUGCUAAUCUGCGAUAAGCGCCGGUAAGGUGAUAUGAACCGUUAUAACCGGCGAUACCCGAAUGGGGAAACCCAGUGUGAUUCGUCACACUAUCAUUAACUGAAUCCAUAGGUUAAUGAGGCGAACCGGGGGAACUGAAACAUCUAAGUACCCCGAGGAAAAGAAAUCAACCGAGAUUCCCCCAGUAGCGGCGAGCGAACGGGGAGGAGCCCAGAGCCUGAAUCAGCAUGUGUGUUAGUGGAAGCGUCUGGAAAGGCGCGCGAUACAGGGUGACAGCCCCGUACACAAAAGCGCAUGUGCUGUGAGCUCGAUGAGUAGGGCGGGACACGUGGUAUCCUGUCUGAAUAUGGGGGGACCAUCCUCCAAGGCUAAAUACUCCUGACUGACCGAUAGUGAACCAGUACCGUGAGGGAAAGGCGAAAAGAACCCCGGCGAGGGGAGUGAAAAAGAACCUGAAACCGUGUACGUACAAGCAGUGGGAGCNNNNNNNNNNNNNNNNNNNNNNNNNNNNNNNNNNNNNNNNNNNNNNNNNNNNNNNNNNNNNNNNNNNNGGGCGUUAAGUUGCAGGGUAUAGACCCGAAACCCGGUGAUCUAGCCAUGGGCAGGUUGAAGGUUGGGUAACACUAACUGGAGGACCGAACCGACUAAUGUUGAAAAAUUAGCGGAUGACCUGUGGCUGGGGGUGAAAGGCCAAUCAAACCGGGAGAUAGCUGGUUCUCCCCGAAAGCUAUUUAGGUAGCGCCUCGUGAAUUCAUCUCCGGGGGUAGAGCACUGUUUCGGCUAGGGGGCCAUCCCGGCUUACCAACCCGAUGCAAACUGCGAAUACCGGAGAAUGUUAUCACGGGAGACACACGGCGGGUGCUAACGUCCGUCGUGAAGAGGGAAACAACCCAGACCGCCAGCUAAGGUCCCAAAGUCAUGGUUAAGUGGGAAACGAUGUGGGAAGGCCCAGACAGCCAGGAUGUUGGCUUAGAAGCAGCCAUCAUUUAAAGAAAGCGUAAUAGCUCACUGGUCGAGUCGGCCUGCGCGGAAGAUGUAACGGGGCUAAACCAUGCACCGAAGCUGCGGCAGCGACACUGUGUGUUGUUGGGUAGGGGAGCGUUCUGUAAGCCUGUGAAGGUGUGUCGUGAGGCAUGCUGGAGGUAUCAGAAGUGCGAAUGCUGACAUAAGUAACGAUAAAGCGGGUGAAAAGCCCGCUCGCCGGAAGACCAAGGGUUCCUGUCCAACGUUAAUCGGGGCAGGGUGAGUCGACCCCUAAGGCGAGGCCGAAAGGCGUAGUCGAUGGGAAACGGGUUAAUAUUCCCGUACUUGGUGUUACUGCGAAGGGGGGACGGAGAAGGCUAUGUUGGCCGGGCGACGGUUGUCCCGGUUUAAGCGUGUAGGUGUGUGUUCCAGGUAAAUCCGGUUCACUUUAACACUGAGGCGUGACGACGAGGCACUACGGUGCUGAAGCAACAAAUGCCCUGCUUCCAGGAAAAGCCUCUAAGCAUCAGGUAACAUCAAAUCGUACCCCAAACCGACACAGGUGGUCAGGUAGAGAAUACCAAGGCGCUUGAGAGAACUCGGGUGAAGGAACUAGGCAAAAUGGUGCCGUAACUUCGGGAGAAGGCACGCUGACACGUAGGUGAAGUGAUUUACUCAUGGAGCUGAAGUCAGUCGAAGAUACCAGCUGGCUGCAACUGUUUAUUAAAAACACAGCACUGUGCAAACACGAAAGUGGACGUAUACGGUGUGACGCCUGCCCGGUGCCGGAAGGUUAAUUGAUGGGGUCAGCGCAAGCGAAGCUCCUGAUCGAAGCCCCGGUAAACGGCGGCCGUAACUAUAACGGUCCUAAGGUAGCGAAAUUCCUUGUCGGGUAAGUUCCGACCUGCACGAAUGGCGUAAUGAUGGCCAGGCUGUCUCCACCCGAGACUCAGUGAAAUUGAACUCGCUGUGAAGAUGCAGUGUACCCGCGGCAAGACGGAAAGACCCCGUGAACCUUUACUAUAGCUUGACACUGAACAUUGAGCCUUGAUGUGUAGGAUAGGUGGGAGGCUUUGAAGUGUGGACGCCAGUCUGCAUGGAGCCGACCUUGAAAUACCACCCUUUAAUGUUUGAUGUUCUAACGUGGACCCGUUACCCGGGUUGCGGACAGUGUCUGGUGGGUAGUUUGACUGGGGCGGUCUCCUCCUAAAGAGUAACGGAGGAGCACGAAGGUUGGCUAAUCCUGGUCGGACAUCAGGAGGUUAGUGCAAUGGCAUAAGCCAGCUUGACUGCGAGCGUGACGGCGCGAGCAGGUGCGAAAGCAGGUCAUAGUGAUCCGGUGGUUCUGAAUGGAAGGGCCAUCGCUCAACGGAUAAAAGGUACUCCGGGGAUAACAGGCUGAUACCGCCCAAGAGUUCAUAUCGACGGCGGUGUUUGGCACCUCGAUGUCGGCUCAUCACAUCCUGGGGCUGAAGUAGGUCCCAAGGGUAUGGCUGUUCGCCAUUUAAAGUGGUACGCGAGCUGGGUUUAGAACGUCGUGAGACAGUUCGGUCCCUAUCUGCCGUGGGCGCUGGAGAACUGAGGGGGGCUGCUCCUAGUACGAGAGGACCGGAGUGGACGCAUCACUGGUGUUCGGGUUGUCAUGCCAAUGGCACUGCCCGGUAGCUAAAUGCGGAAGAGAUAAGUGCUGAAAGCAUCUAAGCACGAAACUUGCCCCGAGAUGAGUUCUCCCUGAGACUUAGAGUCUCCUGAAGGAACGUUGAAGACGACGACGUUGAUAGGCCGGGUGUGUAAGCGCAGCGAUGCGUUGAGCUAACCGGUACUAAUGAACCGUGAGGCUUAACCUUACAACGCCGAAG
This 2888-nucleotide ribosomal RNA is filed under the name Salmonella enterica subsp. enterica serovar Enteritidis. RNAcentral's name for it is "23S ribosomal RNA". It matches the Rfam family "Bacterial large subunit ribosomal RNA". Lineage: Bacteria; Pseudomonadati; Pseudomonadota; Gammaproteobacteria; Enterobacterales; Enterobacteriaceae. The record is from RNAcentral.